RNAcentral lists this ribosomal RNA (253 nucleotides) under uncultured bacterium. RNAcentral's name for it is "partial 16S ribosomal RNA". It matches the Rfam family "Bacterial small subunit ribosomal RNA", at positions 524 to 776 of the family's 1533-position model. The record is from RNAcentral.
UACGAAGGGGGCUAGCGUUGCUCGGAAUCACUGGGCGUAAAGGGUGCGUAGGCGGGUCUUUAAGUCAGGGGUGAAAUCCUGGAGCUCAACUCCAGAACUGCCUUCGAUACUGAGAGACUUGAGUCCGGGAGAGGUGAGUGGAACUGCGAGUGUAGAGGUGAAAUUCGUAGAUAUUCGCAAGAACACCAGUGGCGAAGGCGGCUCACUGGCCCGGUACUGACGCUGAGGUGCGAAAGCGUGGGGAGCAAACAGG